Long non-coding RNA from Quercus lobata, 687 nucleotides. RefSeq lists it as uncharacterized. The record is from RefSeq and is a predicted model, not a curated record. Lineage: Eukaryota; Viridiplantae; Streptophyta; Magnoliopsida; Fagales; Fagaceae. The transcript is spliced from 2 exons.
UCUUGUCAAAUUGAUGGCUUAAUGUCAUUGGGUUCGGCUCCCCGCCGGUUCAAAAUUUUUCAAUUUUCUCCGGUUUUUAUCCGGAUGCCUCAUCUUAAGCUCUCUGCCUCUCUACCUCACUCAACUCAAGCCCACUCUCUCCGAAUAUCCCUCACUCUCUCUGCCUCACUCUCACGGUCUCACCUCACGCAUGCCUCUGAAUUUUUUUUUUUCCUCAUCAUCCUCUUGGCGUCUGAACUCUGGUGUUCUAGGUUUUUUUUAUUUUUUUUUUUUCAUCAUCAUCCUCUUGGCGUCUGAAAUUUCGAUCUCGCCCUUGCCCUCGGAGCUCUGCUCUCUGCUUCUCAGCUUCAUCAGAUUCUCCGUUCAUGUUCUCAGCUUCAUCUCAGGUUCUCCGUUCUGUGACUUCACUGGUAAGUGGUAACUUGAGAUAAUGAUGUGGCUUUGAAGAUGAAGAAGAUAAGAAUGAGGAUGAUGAUAAUGAUGCUAGUGGUGGAGCAUUUGGUUCACAUGAUGAUAUUGAUUUCAAUUUUCUUCGUAACAAAUGAGGCUUGAGUCUUAAAAUUUAGUAGUUGUUUGUUUGAAACUUUAAAAUUUAUUUGCUAUUUGGAUGUAAUGAACUUAUUUGUUAUUUGUUAUUUGGAUGUAAAUGUAAUGAAUAAUGAACUUAUUUAUUUGGUUUUGUUGAAA